AUUUAAAAUGGGGUAAUGGAUUCAUUGAUACGUCGCCCGUCUGUCUACCAAGUAAACGUAAACGAACUGAUUUGGGUGUUUUAAAUGCCAACGAAGAAGCUGAUUCUAAGGGGUUUCUCUCCAAAGAUAGCUUAAGGAAAGGUAAGUAUGACUUCAUUUCCUCACAGGAUGAAGGGAGUGUUCAGUCUGUCUUGAUCAGUGGAAUAGCCAUUCUGAGUUUUCAGGAUAGAUAAAAUUUGCACCCCGGUGUAAAUACCAAAAUACACAAUUUGCCUCACUGUGUGGCCAGUGCUAUUUACACGCGGUGCAAAUAGUUCCUCUUUUUUUUUUGGCAUGCAGAAUUUGUAAAAUAAAUGUUCAGAAUGCAAGAAUUUGACUCCUGAAUUCUAACUCUAGGUGGUUUUUUAGUGAUUGAUGGUCAAAGAGGUGUGUACUACUCUGAGAGCUGGGAACACAAUGGCAGCACUUUGUACCUGCCUGUAUGUGGCACCUUGUUAGCCAACAUAGAAAAAUAUGAUCAGAUCAGCUUUGAGCAGGGCUGCUUCUGCAUAGGUAAUUCUGCAGGUGGAUUUCAACAGAAGGUCCAAGGUACGUAAGACUGAUUUGUUAGUUUGAACCCCCAAACAUUGCACUUGAAGUUCAUGUUUGUUUCAAGUAAUUUGCCUGCUAUGCCUUUGGUGGUGGUACUUUGGCAAUUAAUUUAAAGGUGCACUUAGUAACGUUUUGCUUGUUGUCUUGGAUUUACAGUGACACCUAGUGGUGCGGAUGCAGCACCAUUCAAUAUCAAUAGUUUUCAGUUACAGAUGCCUUUUGUAGAAAUUCACAAUCAGCUGUGAUUCAUUUAAUCUUAGAGUGAAAGUGUCCAAUAACAAGAUGGUUACUGAGAUUGAGUGAGUAGUAUUUAGUUGGUCAUGUUAUUCUAAAAUGGCAGCCACCAUGAGGGCACCCCUGACUCAUGUAGAAUAAAACAGCUUUUUUAAGGUUACUGAUAUGACUAGAGUCCUCAUCUUAUGUGAGUGGUCAUGAUUGUAUUAAUACAUUUUAAAAUAACAAUUAAUAUUUUUAGGAGUAAAACUUUCUUAAUGGGGAUAAAAUAGCUAAGUACACCUUUAAUACUUACUGUGCCAAACGUUUUCUUUAUUGGCAUUAUAUUCCCCAGUGCAUGCAUAUAUUCGUAGCUGUUUAAUAUGACUGUCUCUGCUUACUCAUUCAGGUCAAGCGAUCCAUUGCUGGCGGUAUAGUGAACGCGAACGAAAGCUUUUCAUUGCGCUCUCUUACUUGUUUACAAACUUACAAGUUUUUGAGGAAGUUGUCAGCACUCUUGAUUGUCUCUGAGGAAUCAAACACAGUUGGCCAGUGCCAUUUCAGCUAUGCUUUAAAGCACAGACCAAUUUUGUGUUAUUUAGCAUAGCCCUGAUUUUUCGUCUCCUUGUUACAAUGUCUUCUUAAGUCUAAUUGUUUUUUUUUUGUUUUUUUUAAACAUUGUUUAUUAUACAUAUUGUGAUUGCCUCAUUCCAAUGUGCCAACAGUUGUGGAUGAAGAAACAUAUGUGCACAGCAUAUUUCUGUGCUAUGCUUUGAUAACAGUGCCUGGUCCUUUAUAUAAUAGUUAGCUGGCUUAUGGUAAGUGAACAAUUGAUAUCAAUCCUUAUGUAUUUAGAUAAUGUUGAGUAUCAUGGCCACUGCUUUGUUUUUACAUGAGCUCUGGAAAAAUAAUUCUGAUGCUGCAGAUCUUGCUAUGGACCAAAAUGUAACAUUAUGAUAAUGUAGUUAAUCCUAUGACUGUCAUGUGACAUUUGACGUCUGGUGCUUAUUUUGUUGCACACUAUGACAAUAUUUGUAAACUGCUUUUAAAGUUUUUUUUUUUUUUUUUUUUUUCUCUAAUAAAAGGUGUAGGAAUACCACAUGGAAUCCAUCUAUUUAGAUUCAUAAAACAAGAACUCUUUUCAUUUGCUGUUGUGGAGGGUUAGUUGCAUAUUAUCUUGAAGGAAAGCACAAGGGUGAUGAAGAUCCCCUGACUUUUGAUAUGGCUCCCCACCGACUGCUUGGUUUUCUUGUCCUUUAUUGCCUUUCAUGACCUUUUCAUGAGUUUAUAUAUAUAUAUAUAUGUUUCACAUACUUGAGUAAGCUAGAUUAUAAGCCUUUCUUCCCUAAAGACUUAAUUGUGCAGAAUUACUUUUGAUAUUUUAUGGAGACUUACAUAUUACAUUUGCUAUGUUUUAAAGGUAGUAAUUUGGAAAGCAACUCUACUCAUGUUAAAAUCAACUGUCUGAUGGUGAAAUUGUUAUGGCUCAUGAAGGAGUUAUAAAAACAGCUGUCAGCCAAGCAAGAGUAAAGCAAUUUUGAGACCUGAUCAACCAUUUUGUAUUUUUACCAUUAGUCCCUAGAACAUUUAAAGUCAAAAUGGACCUUUAAUGUCAAGAAUUACAAUUUAAUUAAAUUGGACACAUUUUAAUUUACCAUAAAACUGAUGACCGUAAUGAUUGAGAUUACGUUACACAUGAUCAAUCACCUUAAUUGUGCAUGUCAGUGUUUUUGCCAUUGCAGUAUGUUAAUGUAAUUGUUAUUCAGUGUAAUUACAGUCUUCAAUUUAUAACUUUUUAAUAAUUCAUUUAAUAGUAAAUGUUCAAUAACAGAAACGGAUCAAUAUAUAUACAUGUGUGUGUGUGUGUGUGUGUGUGUGUGUAUAUAUAUAUAUAUAUAUUUUACAAUAAAUUCUCCUUCCUGCCCAGUAGGUGGCAACAUAGACAAAGAAAUUAAAUCGCCAAACACAAAAGAAGAAAGUAAAAGUGGAGUUCAAUUGUAAAAAAUGACUUAUAUAUUUAUGUGUUUCUCACAUCAGUUUUGGGUGAACUAUUACUUUAAAUAUGAUCAAUGGCAAUAGUGAUACCUUAUCAACACCAUUAAUUAUGCUCUUCUCUGUUCAAGUGUGCCAAGUCCAUCGUCUUCUGUCUGUAGAUACGGUGUACAUACUGUCAGGUCUUGUGCAGGUGUAAUUCAUCUCUGUGAACACCAGACUGCAGCAUAACACAAGCCAUCUCACAAGACACUGACAAGGUCACUCCACAAGAAGGAAAACACACUGGAGCUGAUGCAAACAUGUCUGAUGGCGAUUGUCAGUGAGUCGAAAUAAUGUGGCCCAUGCUAGGGCACUGGAAGUAUUGGAAACAACAUGCUUACCUCCCCAGUGAUCAUGUUGACAGGUUAUCCAAAAUUAAUGGCACACUGAUGCAGAUGCCAGCCGCAAGAGCCUCAACCUAAACUGAUGUCAGACCACUGCUUACAAGCAUUUGUGCUCAUCUAGUUAGGAGUCUGCUGAGUUUACAUCAGUGCCUCCUUGGUGCCAGACUAGCAGUGUUUGGCACUCACCAUCAGCCAUUAUCCGAAACCCCACAGACCCACCAUGCACUACUGCACAAGUGGAGUGAUUGUACCAUCUGCUGAAAAUCCUGUUGCAGUCAGAAUCUUUUUGACCAGUCAUUGGCUCAAUCAGAGAAUGGAUUUCUACACAGUUAGAGCUGCAUUGUAGUGGAUGAUGAUUCAUUUUGGAAGUGAAAAAGAAGCUAGAGAGGCGCUAGAAAUUGGAUCACUAUAUGACCCUUUUAAAAUUCUUACCUAUUUCAGAGUAACACAACU
RNA transcript from Xyrauchen texanus (razorback sucker), 3635 nucleotides. RefSeq lists it as uncharacterized. NCBI's taxonomy places the organism in Eukaryota, Metazoa, Chordata, Actinopteri, Cypriniformes, Catostomidae. The transcript is spliced from 3 exons. The record is from RefSeq and is a predicted model, not a curated record.